UGGACUCCCACCAAAAACCACAUGAACUUGGGAGCAGCUUCUUCCUCAGUUGAACCAUCCGAUGAGACCCCACUCCUGGCUGACAUCUUGAUUGCAGUCUCAUGAAAGGCUCCUGAAGCUGAAGAUCCAGCUAAGCUGUUUUGGGAUUCCUGAUCCAAGAAACUAGGAACAACCACAGCUGCCCACACAAAUACUCUGGACUCUUGGCUAGAGCUAUCACCAACCUCGGCUGGCAAAUUUUUACACCCCAAAAUAAUCCUGGGCAAGCCGCACUGUGAAAAAUGCCUUUCUUCCUUAAGGGGGCUGCUUCACAACAUGACAGGUGACUUCUCACCGGACAAGCAAUCUAAGAGGAAGCAGCUGGAUCUCCAGGAGCCAUUUUGGACCAUGAAGAUGGGGAGCAGGUCACACUUUAGGUUUGGGGAGCAGGGAGCUAGGAAGAGCCUGCGUCCCUGAGGAACACGAAGCUGCAAUACCAGCCCUGGACAUCUCAC
Molecule: long non-coding RNA, 494 nt
Organism: Manis pentadactyla (Chinese pangolin)
Lineage: Eukaryota; Metazoa; Chordata; Mammalia; Pholidota; Manidae
Exons: 4
Source: RefSeq, a predicted model, not a curated record